Delphinapterus leucas (beluga whale) is the source of this 1226-nucleotide long non-coding RNA. RefSeq lists it as uncharacterized. The record is from RefSeq and is a predicted model, not a curated record. NCBI's taxonomy places the organism in Eukaryota, Metazoa, Chordata, Mammalia, Artiodactyla, Monodontidae.
GCCAAGGGGGCAGGCGGGAUGGGACCAGCAGCAAAUGGUUUCUUUACCCUCCGUGUUGGAGGGGACAGGGAUGAAGGCUCCGGAGCCCAGAGCCAGAAGGAGGCCAGGGAAGCAUGAGCGUCAGUGGAUCCAGUCGCUAUAGAACGCCCAGUGCGAAAACAGAAAAAGCAGCAGAUACGAUGCAGCAAGAUCCUCAGGCCUCACAAGGGAAGUGUCUCCAAUGGUGACAUCUUGCAAAACUAUAUACAAUCACAACCAGGAAACGGACAUGGCUACAGUCCACUAACCUUGUUCAGAUUUCAUCAGUCUUACUUGCACUCGUGUGGAUUUAAUCAUAUGCAGAUUUAUCACACGUAGAGAUUCAUGUGACACGACCACAGUCAAGACAUAGAAGAGUUCCAUCACAAGGAUCCCCUCUGCUGCACUUCCAUAGCCACAGACACCUCUGCUCUCCCACCCCCUGACCCCUGCAACCACUAAUCUGUUCUUUCUAUAAUUUUAUUAUUUGAAGAAUGUUAUAUAAAUGGAAUCAUACAGCAUGUAUUCUUGUGAGAUUGACUUUUUUCACUUUGUACAAUGCCCUUGAGAGCCACCCAAGCUGUUGCCUGUAUCAGCAGUUCAUUCCUUCUUACCACCGAGUGGAGUUCUGUUGCAUCGAUGUGCCAAGGUUUGUGUCACCAUUCAAACACUGGAGGGUAUUAGGGUUCUUCCUAGUUUUUUGCUCUCACGAACAUUUGUGUACAGUUUUGUUUCUCUAGUAUAAAUGCCCAAGAGGGCAGCUGCCAAACCCCAUGAUAAACACGUGUUUACUAUUAUAAGGAACUGCCACACUCUUUGGCAGGGUGUCUGCGCCAUUUUACAUUCUCAACAGGAAUGCAUGAGUGAUCCAGUUUUUCUGCAUCCUAGCCAGCAUUUGGUGGUAUCGUUAUUUUUCAGUUUAGCCAUUCUGACAGGUGUGCAGCGACAUCUCAUUGCAUUUCCCUAUGGUUUUUCACGUGCUUAUUCGGCAUCUGUAUGUCCUUUUCUGUGACAUAUCUAUUCAUGUUCUUUGCCCAUUUUCUAAUUGUUUAUUUUUUUACUGUUGAGCUUUGAGUGUCCUUUAUAUAUUUAGAUACAAAGACUUUGUCAGGUAGGUGGUUUGCAAAUAUUUUCUACCAGAUAUUUGAUUUGAACAGAUAUUUCACCAAAGAAGAUAUAUGGAUGGCAAAAGAGCACAUGAAAAGAUG